GCAUCGCAGGAUACAAAUACCACGAGGAAGGGGACCAAUAUGCGGCGAUUAAUGAUGAUGGUCACGAUGAUAAGCCUUUCUUGAUCUCUGCAUUUUGGUUCUUGAGUGAUAUCAAAAUACAGAGGAUGAAUAUAAGAAGACUCAGUUCCCUCAUGCUUGCCACUUCAAAGAUUGGAUUCACCAUUUCUCUUGCUUGCUUUUUUCUUUAGAUUGAUUGAUAUUUAUCUUCUCUUCAGUUUUUGUGUUUUUGCUUCGAGAGAAGAGCUCAGGGAAGCAAAGUAGCGAGUGGCGAGU
RNAcentral lists this unclassified non-coding RNA (294 nucleotides) under Hevea brasiliensis (rubber tree). The record is from RNAcentral. Lineage: Eukaryota; Viridiplantae; Streptophyta; Magnoliopsida; Malpighiales; Euphorbiaceae.